Molecule: ribosomal RNA, 1767 nt
Filed under: Salmonella enterica
Lineage: Bacteria; Pseudomonadati; Pseudomonadota; Gammaproteobacteria; Enterobacterales; Enterobacteriaceae
Description: partial 23S ribosomal RNA
Rfam family: Bacterial large subunit ribosomal RNA
Source: RNAcentral
CAGGUUUACCUGUGUGACUGCGUACCUUUUGUAUAAUGGGUCAGCGACUUAUAUUCUGUAGCAAGGUUAACCGUAUAGGGGAGCCGUAGGGAAACCGAGUCUUAACCGGGCGUUAAGUUGCAGGGUAUAGACCCGAAACCCGGUGAUCUAGCCAUGGGCAGGUUGAAGGUUGGGUAACACUAACUGGAGGACCGAACCGACUAAUGUUGAAAAAUUAGCGGAUGACCUGUGGCUGGGGGUGAAAGGCCAAUCAAACCGGGAGAUAGCUGGUUCUCCCCGAAAGCUAUUUAGGUAGCGCCUCGUGAAUUCAUCUCCGGGGGUAGAGCACUGUUUCGGCUAGGGGGCCAUCCCGGCUUACCAACCCGAUGCAAACUGCGAAUACCGGAGAAUGUUAUCACGGGAGACACACGGCGGGUGCUAACGUCCGUCGUGAAGAGGGAAACAACCCAGACCGCCAGCUAAGGUCCCAAAGUCAUGGUUAAGUGGGAAACGAUGUGGGAAGGCCCAGACAGCCAGGAUGUUGGCUUAGAAGCAGCCAUCAUUUAAAGAAAGCGUAAUAGCUCACUGGUCGAGUCGGCCUGCGCGGAAGAUGUAACGGGGCUAAACCAUGCACCGAAGCUGCGGCAGCGACGCUGAUGCGUUGUUGGGUAGGGGAGCGUUCUGUAAGCCUGUGAAGGUGGCCUGUGAGGGUUGCUGGAGGUAUCAGAAGUGCGAAUGCUGACAUAAGUAACGAUAAAGCGGGUGAAAAGCCCGCUCGCCGGAAGACCAAGGGUUCCUGUCCAACGUUAAUCGGGGCAGGGUGAGUCGACCCCUAAGGCGAGGCCGAAAGGCGUAGUCGAUGGGAAACGGGUUAAUAUUCCCGUACUUGGUGUUACUGCGAAGGGGGGACGGAGAAGGCUAUGUUGGCCGGGCGACGGUUGUCCCGGUUUAAGCGUGUAGGUGUGUGUUCCAGGUAAAUCCGGUUCACUUUAACACUGAGGCGUGAUGACGAGGCACUACGGUGCUGAAGCAACAAAUGCCCUGCUUCCAGGAAAAGCCUCUAAGCAUCAGGUAACAUCAAAUCGUACCCCAAACCGACACAGGUGGUCAGGUAGAGAAUACCAAGGCGCUUGAGAGAACUCGGGUGAAGGAACUAGGCAAAAUGGUGCCGUAACUUCGGGAGAAGGCACGCUGACACGUAGGUGAAGUGAUUUACUCAUGGAGCUGAAGUCAGUCGAAGAUACCAGCUGGCUGCAACUGUUUAUUAAAAACACAGCACUGUGCAAACACGAAAGUGGACGUAUACGGUGUGACGCCUGCCCGGUGCCGGAAGGUUAAUUGAUGGGGUCAGCGCAAGCGAAGCUCCUGAUCGAAGCCCCGGUAAACGGCGGCCGUAACUAUAACGGUCCUAAGGUAGCGAAAUUCCUUGUCGGGUAAGUUCCGACCUGCACGAAUGGCGUAAUGAUGGCCAGGCUGUCUCCACCCGAGACUCAGUGAAAUUGAACUCGCUGUGAAGAUGCAGUGUACCCGCGGCAAGACGGAAAGACCCCGUGAACCUUUACUAUAGCUUGACACUGAACAUUGAGCCUUGAUGUGUAGGAUAGGUGGGAGGCUUUGAAGCGUGGACGCCAGUCUGCAUGGAGCCGGCCUUGAAAUACCACCCUUUAAUGUUUGAUGUUCUAACGUGGACCCGUGAUCCGGGUUGCGGACAGUGUCUGGUGGGUAGUUUGACUGGGGCGGUCUCCUCCUAAAGAGUAACGGAGGAGCACGAAGGUUGGCUAAUCCUGG